Molecule: transfer RNA, 72 nt
Filed under: Salmonella enterica subsp. enterica
Lineage: Bacteria; Pseudomonadati; Pseudomonadota; Gammaproteobacteria; Enterobacterales; Enterobacteriaceae
Description: tRNA-Gly
Rfam family: tRNA
About the family: Transfer RNA (tRNA) molecules are approximately 80 nucleotides in length. Their secondary structure includes four short double-helical elements and three loops (D, anti-codon, and T loops). Further hydrogen bonds mediate the characteristic L-shaped molecular structure. tRNAs have two regions of fundamental functional importance: the anti-codon, which is responsible for specific mRNA codon recognition, and the 3' end, to which the tRNAs corresponding amino acid is attached (by aminoacyl-tRNA synthetases). tRNAs cope with the degeneracy of the genetic code in two manners: having more than one tRNA (with a specific anti-codon) for a particular amino acid; and 'wobble' base-pairing, i.e. permitting non-standard base-pairing at the 3rd anti-codon position.
Source: RNAcentral
GCGGGCGCGUAGUUCAAUGGUAGAACGAGAGCUUCCCGCUCUAUACGAGGUUCGUAUCCCUCGCCCGCUCCA